GGCGUAAACAGAGGGAAGCAAAGGGGCGACCUGGAGCAAACCCCAAAAAUAACGUCCCAGUUCGGACUGCGGCCUGCAACCCGGCCGCACGAAGCUGGAAUCGCUAGUAAUCGCGAAUCAGAAUGUCGCGGUGAAUACGUUCCCGGGUCUUGUACACACCGCCCGUCACACCAUGGGAGUUGGUAAUGCCCGAAGUCAGUGACCCAACCGCAAGGAGGGAGCUGCCGAAGGCAGGACUGAUAACUGGGGUGAAGUCGUAACAAGGUAUC
RNAcentral lists this ribosomal RNA (269 nucleotides) under uncultured bacterium. RNAcentral's name for it is "partial 16S ribosomal RNA". It matches the Rfam family "Bacterial small subunit ribosomal RNA", at positions 1232 to 1500 of the family's 1533-position model. The record is from RNAcentral.